CUCAGCCCGUCCGUUCCCCCGCUCACCCUUCAGCCACCGCCGCGCUCCUGACCCUGCGUCCCCAGCGGCCUCCCAGCCCAGAGCCCGUUCUGAUCUCACCUCACCUGCGCACCGUCCCUCCUUCCUGUCUCUCUCUGCCUCGCGUCCCCGAAAUCCUUCGCCCCCGUGCGGCUCAGUCCCCGUGAACUUCCGUGGGGCGCCGUGAGCUCUGUUCCUGCCGAGAGCCUGGUUUCCACGGCUUUCCGUUAUUAGGGUCUGGGCCCCUCGGGCGCCCCUGGGAGCUCAGCCGUGGUUGCUUUAGGAAUCGAGAGCGCCUCCCGGCCCCACCUGAGACCCCACACUGCCGUGCCGCCCUGCCACCUCCGGCCGCCUGGACACCCCCAGGGCUCCUCCCAGCUACCUCGCCAGCCAGUCAGGAGGCUCUGGGAGCCAUGGCUCCUUCUGCCCCAUCUGUCCCUCCGAAGUGUGGUUCUGGGGACACCUGGAGGCCCCGCGAAUCUCCCAUGUGGGCAACAUCACGCUGCUCCUAGCCGACCUGAAACAGGAUCCCUGCUGAGGCCUCGAACCUGAGUCACACACGGCUCUUUCAGGAGCCCCAAGGGCCACACUGAAAAGCAGAGGCGCUGGCACCGCCCGCUGGGUCCCCCUUUAUUUUGUGGUGGGAGAGAGGCGGAGGGAGGGGGGAUGAUAGCUUCCAUAGCAGGACACGUGUGAGGCAGCUCCUGCCUGCUGCUCCUCCGUUCCCUGGCUCCGUCCUGACAACGGCAGGGCUGGGAUGGAGAGGACUCAAGAAGGAUGUGCAUGCAGAGCUCUGAGAAGGGUCCUGCUGAUGGGCCAUGUGCCGAGGGCCUAGGGCAUUCCACCCUGGGGCAUGCUGGGAGUUUGGGCCCCCUGGGGUAAGUCUUCACAGGCUUUAUGGCCCUGUCAUCCAGGAGGGUGCUUCCUCUCCACACACCAUCUGAAAUCUGCAGCCUUUGACAGAGCAGGGGAGCCUGCCACGUGGAGAGUGCUUGGCAGUCUGCUGAUUCAAACGGAUGUUGACUUGAAAGAUAUCUUCACCAUGACAUCUGCACUAGUGUUGGACCACACAGCUGGUCACCAGUGGCCCAGCCAAGUCAACGCAUAAACGUCACCAUCUAAUCAGUCACCAUUAAAUCAAGUGCACCGCCUGCAGGACUGCCGAGCCGAGCCAUGGGCAGAGUGCAGUGAGCAGGGGGAGCUUGGGGAAGAGAGGUGAUGCCAGAGGAGAGGGAGAAGGGAGCAGGGGGGAGGAGGGGGGUCCGUCAGUGUGUACUAGAGAAACAGACAUGCACAAGGUGGACAAAUACAUAUUUUACCAGACUGGCUUACCAUGGCCGCCCAGAGUCGGAUGGGGAAGAGGGCAGAGGGGCUGUCUGUGCACCUAAGGAUUCAGUGGAAGGUGUGGAGCUCCUUGCAGGGAGGGUCCUGUGCGAGUCCAUAUCAGGUGGCCCGUGGGUCUGUGGUGGAGGCUGAGGAGUCUAUGCCGGAAGCUGAAGGAGCUGCACCGGAAGCCGAAGUCUGCGCUGGAAGCCAGGAGAUGACGUCCAAGGUGAAGGCAAAGACUGCAGCGCCUCUGAAGACCAGAAACAGGUCUGUCCUUCCUCAUCUCCCCUUUAUGCCAUCCAGGCAAGGAGCGGCCCUAGGGCGUGGAAUUGCUCAGCCGAUUUAGUUGAGCUUCUCCUAAUGAAACUUCUCAAAUUGACACAAUCAAUCAACCAUCACAGAUGGGGUGGGGCGGGGAGCAUCCCGCCAGGCCUACUGUGGUGGUGGCAGGGGUGCUUGGGCCUCUGUCCUGUGUCCCUUGCCCCGUCUUUGAUGUGGGCCACUGAAGGAGCCUGGCUGGCUGUGGAGUACGGCCCUGCCCUGGGCUGGGGGAUCCAUGCGGCCUCCACAGUGGCCCAGGGCUCUUGGGCCUGGAGGCUCCAGAAUCCCGAGCCCAGGUGAAGGGUGAGGGUGCAAGGUGGGGUGGAGCUUGUCUCCUGCAAAACUCGGGACGCCUGGGGCCUCUGGGGCGGAUCAGGUCUUUCUUGUGGGACCAGAUUAGUGCCCACCGGGUGGGCUGUCAUGAAGGUAGGGUGCCAUCCGGGGAAGGGGUGUGCCCCUCGCGACACAUACCCUCUUGUCCUUCUGCUUUCUGCCUGGCAUCGGACUUUUCGGCUUCCAAAAUUGUCAGCCGAAGUAAACAUCUCUUCUCUGUGAACUCUCAGCCUCAGACAGAGACUGCAGGCCGCUCAGUACCUUCACAGCCAGGCCUUGCUUUCCCUUUGCAAAGGGGCUCAGGGCCCUGCGCCGUAGAGGAACACGCUGCGUCUUUCUGGGGCAGCACUCACCCGACGCAUACCCCUGCUGUGGCUGAGUGGGCACCGUGGGCGUGGCCUUUGGGGUGACAGCUCCCUGCUGGGGCCGUGUGGAUGGAUUCAGGCGCGCACCUAGUGUGGGCAGGCCAGGCCAGGCCUCGACUCCAAUGUCCCGGGCCCAGGCGAGCACCAAUCUUGGGGCGCAGGUGAGAGGGCGGGUUGUGGAGGGCUGACCCUGAUGGAAGGACGCCCACCUUCUGGAAACUUCUGAGCUUUGUGACGACCCCUGACACCCCCAGAGAAGAAACCCUGGCUCCUCUCCGACCCCGCUUCGCCAUCUCUGGUAAAUAGAGCGGAAGUCUGCUAUAAAAGAGAAACUCAGCUAAGUGCCCUGGAGCGAAAGAGAACACAGAGCUGCUAUCCCAUAGGCCAGCGCUGGCGAACCUACGGCCCAGGGGCCACAGCUGGCUGUUAUCACUGACAGCACUAAAAGCUUUGCCCUCACUGCCAGAGACAGACGGAGUAUCAUCUUUAAAAUGAUUUUGUAGUCCAUGUUCGCAGUAUGUGAUGGUUGCCUUCCUCACAGGGAGCUGGUGCAUGUGCAACACAUGGCUUCGUUCUUUUUGUGUUCUCUCCCUCCCUCCCUCUUGGUCCCAUUUGCUCUGCCCCACGGUCAGGAGAAUGCUCCUGCACCUACCCCACGCCCUUCCUGGAAGCCCAGAGAGACCAGAAUGGUUUCCCGUGUCAGUUCCACCCCCCAGUCCAGUAACUGGGGUCACAGCUGGGAUCACUGGUGGAAACAUCUAUUGUUUCUGUAGUUGUUUGUCUUGCGAUGUGGCACAUUCUAAAUUCAUGAUGAAGAGAAAAAAACAAAAUACAAACCCAUCCCAACCAAACCAAUGCUGAGUUAGGAGACCUGGUUGGUGUCCUGCUUCUGCUGGGAGGACCUCAGAAGUUACGGUCAUUUCUAAGCCCGGGCCUCCUCAUCCAACAAGGGGUGACCAAUUCUUGCAUCACCAGGGUGCUGUGGGACUCAGAGUCGCUAGGCCCAGUGCCAACCCUGGGAUGCAGAGCUUUCCUGUCCACUCACGAAUGCUUGGUUCCCCUCCACCAUCCAGGUACCACAUUAUUUCAGCACUGGCACCAGCUUAGAAGGUUAUGUUCAGAGGGACAGAGAAUACUCCAGACGGGUGGUACAGAGAGCUCUACACAGCUGUGUUCUGACAGACUGUUGUUGAUUUGUCAAGAUUCUUAAUGGCAGAAUCCUUUUCCUUUGCUUCUGUCUUUUCUACUGGACUUUUUUUUUUUUUUUUGGUUUUUUGAGACGGUCUCACUCUGUAAUUCAGGGUGGUCUUGAACUCAGUGUAUUCCAAACUAGGCUUGGACUCAGUAGUGAUCCUCCUGCCUCAGCCUCCUGAGUGCUAAGAUUAUAGGCGUGUGCCCAUGCCUGGCCCCUUCUGUUGGAAUUUGAUCAAUGUCUGAAGAAGUUAUCCAUCUCUAUCAGAUGAAUAACACACGUCAUGGGCAAGGAUGAUAAUUCUUCCCAGACAGUAGUGAGCUAAGCCUGGCUUGUACCAGCUUCUGGGGAAUGAUUGUUGAUAUUUAAGAAUUUUGUCACCUGGUUAAACGAUUGAUGACUUUGAAACCAGCCAUGGAAGGGCUAUUUGCACCAUGGAUCUGGCCAGUGCUACAAAUUGGGCAUUUGUUUUUCUUUCCAGAGAGUUGGUUUACCAGCAUCCCAUUGCUUAAGGUGAGAAAAACCCACUGUCAUUUAUUUCUGGAGAAAAAUAAGAGGAAACAACUUGCCCCCGUCUUGGGCAAAGCCUAUGAUUAACUAUGCUUUUCUGGUUCCUGGAAUAUUUUUUUUCUCAAGAAAGAAUAAUCAUAAUAAAAAACUCUGGGUUAAGGACAGGAACCUGGAAAUAAUGUAAUGUUUGCGGGCAAUGCUCAGGUGGUAAAGACGACCUGACCUUCUUACUCUUGGAAGUGGGGCUGGAAAUUUGGCUGAGAAAAUAGAAAACAUUUAGACACCACCUGUGUCCACCCACGGGUCCCCUGCCGGGAUUGUGUGCACUCACGUGCCUUAAAGAAGGGGUGGGGCAGGGAGGGAAAUGCAGUGCCCACGUGCACUCGAGCUGGUCUUUUGCAAAAAGAGCUUGCCAUGGGGGAGACGAUAAAAUCCCUCACCUGGGCGGCUUGGCG
RNAcentral lists this long non-coding RNA (4520 nucleotides) under Heterocephalus glaber (naked mole-rat). RNAcentral's name for it is "lncRNA (ENSHGLG00100046236.1)". Lineage: Eukaryota; Metazoa; Chordata; Mammalia; Rodentia; Bathyergidae. The record is from RNAcentral.